This is a long non-coding RNA of Oncorhynchus gorbuscha (pink salmon), 671 nucleotides long. RefSeq lists it as uncharacterized. Lineage: Eukaryota; Metazoa; Chordata; Actinopteri; Salmoniformes; Salmonidae. The transcript is spliced from 2 exons. The record is from RefSeq and is a predicted model, not a curated record.
UGGUCUGAGUGGGGAGGAGAAACUGAAAACGCUGUUAUUGGCAGAGAGGUUUGGAACUCUGUCUUAUUGGUCUAUAGAGGGCUUGCAGUUAACAUAAAAAGCGUCCUGGCGGCCACGUUGGAAACCACCGCAUUACUUCUUCAGACAACAAUAACUGACCGCCUACCCCAAACUGCAAGAUAACAUCAAAUGGAGUACUUGGCUUCUCUAACAAGACAGGAAAGACAACAGGAAAAAAAUAUGUUUACAGAUUCCCCGCAAUCAUGAAACGCCAUUGGUGACACCAAGGUUCACCAGCUGACUUCUCAAGACACCCAUGUCAAUUGGAUUACCACUGAAGAUGAGCAAUGCUGCAGCAGCAUCAGUUUCUACUUCACCAUUUUCCAGAUAUGAAAGGAGACAUCCCUCAAUUAUACAAUAUGAUUGUGAUCAAAGCACAGCAUAUAAAUGUAAACGCUUCUGUUGUGCCUUCACCUUGUCGUCAUAGAAAAAGUGCCCUCUUACACCAUAUUAAUAUAUGAAAUGUAAUUUGGAAGGUGUAAAACUUGUUUACGAUAUUGUAAAUGUAUUGUACUUUAAUAACAGGCUACAGUGUUGUAUGGGUGAAAUAAAGUAUUGUCAGCUCUGCGUUGCCUAGCCCCAUUGAAUAAAAUGUAUUCUUAUACCCCAAC